AGUCACUGACAUUAGAUACCCGGGUAGUCCAGGGUGUAAACGCUGCAGACUUGGUGUUGGAAGCCCUUUGGGGGCAUUCGGUGCCGGAGAGAAGUUGUUAAGUCUGCUACUUGGGGAGUACGUCCGCAAGGAUGAAACUUAAAGGAAUUGGCGGGGGAGCACCGCAACGGGAGGAGCGUGCGGUUUAAUUGGAUUCAACACCGUAAAACUCACCAGGGAAGACUGUUACAUGAAGGCCGAGAUGAAGACUCUGCUAGAUUUUCAG
RNAcentral lists this ribosomal RNA (265 nucleotides) under uncultured archaeon. RNAcentral's name for it is "partial 16S ribosomal RNA". It matches the Rfam family "Archaeal small subunit ribosomal RNA", at positions 719 to 982 of the family's 1478-position model. The record is from RNAcentral.